CCUACGGGCGGCAGCAGUGGGGAAUAUUGGACAAUGGGGGGAACCCUGAUCCAGCGACGCCGCGUGAGUGAAGAAGUAUUUCGGUAUGUAAAGCUCUAUCAGCAGGGAAGAAAGAAACGACGGUACCUGACUAAGAAGCCCCGGCUAACUACGGGCCAGCAGCCGCGGUAAAACGUAGGGGGCAAGCGUUAUCCGGAUAUACUGGGUGUAAAGGGGUCGUAGACGGGGAGGCAAGUCUGAAGUGAAAGGCGGGGGCCCAACCCCCGGACUGCUUUGGAAACUGGAUGGCUGGAGUGCAGGAGAGGUAAGUGGAAUUCCUAGUGUAGCGGUGAAAUGCGUAGAUAUUAGGAGGAACACCAGUGGCGAAGGCGGCUUACUGGACUUUAACUGACGUUGAGGCUCGAAAGCGUGGGGAGCAAACAGGAUUAGAUACCCCUGUAGUC
Molecule: ribosomal RNA, 443 nt
Filed under: uncultured bacterium
Lineage: Bacteria
Description: partial 16S ribosomal RNA
Rfam family: Bacterial small subunit ribosomal RNA
Source: RNAcentral